GGCAGCCCUCGCGCGGUGUGUGCCGCGUCCCGCGCUGUCCCGGGGCGCUCGGGCCCCUCGCCCGAGACGCCAGGAAAGUGAUCGCCGCCCUCCCCACCUUUCCUCCCAACUGCGGGGUGCAGGGUGAGGGGUGGGGGUGAAGUAAAUGCGGCGCCGCUGCGUGAUUACUUAUCUGAAAAGGGGUCAGGAUUACGGGCAAAAUAAAUUGGCCGCUCUUUUUUUCCAGUCAGGGCCGCCGCCCGUUCCCCCUGCAACCUUUGAGGGCGUUAUCUGGGUCGCCCUUCCCCCUGCAGUGGAUUUCAGCCCCCCACAGUGCCCCCGGCCUAGGGCCCUUGUAGGGCCUCUGCACAAACAUAGGGAGGAAACGCAAGCCUGCAGCAAUGGGGGAAGGCGCUUCCUCUCUCGACUUUGUUUCCUUGUGGGUGAAGUGAGCUGGCUCAGAAAAAGCCCGUUGAUCUGUGCAAGGUGCAAGCGCGUGGGGGCUGAGGAGCAAGGAGCACCGCGGGGAAGAGACGUUCUGCGUGCGCCCAAGAAUGAAAUGCUACCCCCCCCCCCCAUCCUGAGAGUUCUACGUGAGGAUGAAUCAUGAUAUCUCAUUCUCUCCAGGCCACUCUGGGAACCUGCUUUCCUAGGAUGGUUGGAACUUACGCCUAGAGCGUUCAAAGCUCUUUGCCUUAAGGGAGCGCCUCGAGGGGGAUGUUGUAUGUGCGCUCAGAGUGGUGUGUACAUAGGUAAAAAUGUGUAGCUCUGUGCAUUUUGGAUGUGUGCCCUUUGCUGUACUCGUGUUAGACCUCAAGGGGGUUCACGCGAACUAAGCGCCGAAUGCGUUGCUAAGCACUGUGACUAUGACUUCCACCUCAGGGAGCUCACCGACCGAUUACAACGCUGACAAAUGUGCGACGGCAAUCAUCUCUAGGUGCUGGGGUUGUCCGUACUUAAAUUGUGCAUCCCAGACUAGGGGAGGUGUGGAGGAAUCAGGUUGCAGGAGACAUUUUGGAAUGAAUGACAUCGGCCCUGAAUUAUAAGGGGAGUGAAGUGGAGGUGGAGGAAGGAAGCAAUGAUUUCUGUUAGGAAAUCAACAGAAGAGAAGGCAUGGCGUUGCAGGUGGAGGUGCCACAUUAGGGAUGGAGGGUUCGUUAGGUAUAAUCGCUGGUACUAAGGGCCUUGGAUGCUGCACUAAUGAUGAGUGAGUUUGGUUUUAAGGCAAGGUGGGGUCUCUGGCACUUCCAUCUCGCCUUUGGGGAAAACCCCUUUGUCAGCCCAAAGGAAAGAGGCCUGGGUGCAAACAAUGCAAGUAUUUUCUUUUCCGCAAAAGUAAGACUCCCUUUUCCCAGUUGUGGAUCCUCUCAUUUGACCCUGGCACCGGAGCUUUUGAAAGACAAACGAUGCUUCAUUGUGUCGUUAGUCCUUUGUUUAGCGCUUGAUACAGCCCAGGGCUUGUGAUAUUCUUGGAUUUGUUACUAAGCACUUUGUAUGGCAGCCGGUGCAGAAAAUUCAAGGCAGAGGAGACGGGCAACCAGGUGUCCCCAUUGUCCACACCAGGGUUGAUGUGCUUCCAGAAACAUGUUUGCAAGAUUCUUCAUGUUCCUCCUCCUCACCCUUGGGUUCUAAUUAUUAUUCUCCGGAUCCGUUAAAGUAGUAAAGGCUGUUGACAACCAAGACAUAUAAAAGCUAAGCCCCAGUUGCUAUGUGUGCUUUGCAAUACUUACUAUCUCUGCUUAAUGAUAAAUCUCCCAACUCACAACUAUGCAUUGUGAAGUCUUUUCUUUCUCUCUCUUAAAAUUACUAUGCAGAAAAUGCUAACAGAACUGUUUUGCAUAAAAGGCUGGACUAAUUACUGUAAUCUGUCAUUUUCACCUCUGACCUCUAAUAAUUACUGACAGUCUAAUUGAGAAAGGAUUAGAGCCUGCAGUAGACACAUAAAUGGGUGCUACUGGGUGUUUUUUUCUGUGCCUAAUUAUCUUUGUAAUGCUUGAGUAAUUUAUUCCGUGCUAAGAGGACAUCAAAACAGUGCUAACAGUGGUUGCAAUAAACCUUGUCCCCUAGUUUCAAGAACAUACAAAGCUUCAAACCCCUGUGGCUGACCUCGCAGAUUAAGAAUCUCCUCUGUUUUUUACAUCACUCCAUGUUGGGUAUGAGCUGGAUAACAAGGAAACUGGAAAUAUGUCCGAGAAAAGAAAAAGAGAACAAAAUGUAGCCUCGGAAUCUAAGGCACAGUUUGGAAAAUAACCUGGCUGCAGUAAAGAAAGUCAAAAUAUACAUAUGAAUUGCUUAUAAGAGGCCACUCAGCUUUCUCUUCCAAAAGUAGGUAGAAAGUUUGUAAUAGGAGAGAAAAAUCAUGAAUAAUUAAUUCCCACUACAGGAGGUUGCACAGGAACGUCAGGGUGAGCCUUAGAAUAAGGGGACAAUGUAUUGUUUCUUUUGCCCUAACAUGUUUUCAUAUUAGAAUCCUAAUAGUAGGUCCAUAACUCCUUGAUUGGAAGGAGCGGUGUAUACAUGGCAUAUUGUUUCUCAGCCCUGCAUAUAAAAUUUUUGUGCUGAUAAUUUUAUUAAAGCAAUUCUGGUUGGAAGCAAUACAGUUAUUUUACAUUAUUUGUUUUUCUUAAUCCUUUGUUUUGUUUUGUUUGAAUUGCUUUUUAAUUCUUUUAUUUAAAAAAAGCUAUUGCAUUAAAAAAAUGUAC
Choloepus didactylus (southern two-toed sloth) is the source of this 2681-nucleotide long non-coding RNA. RefSeq lists it as uncharacterized. NCBI's taxonomy places the organism in Eukaryota, Metazoa, Chordata, Mammalia, Pilosa, Megalonychidae. The transcript is spliced from 3 exons. The record is from RefSeq and is a predicted model, not a curated record.